AUACGGAGGGUGCAAGCGUUAUCCGGAAUCACUGGGUUUAAACGGGUGCGUAGGCGGACCGUGGUAAGUCAGAGGUGAAAUGCACGAGCUUAACUGGUGAAUUGCCUUUGAAACUAUCAAGCUAGAAUUAUGUUGAGGUCAGCGGAAUGAGUCAUGUAGCGGUGAAAUGCAUAGAUAUGACUUAGAACACCAAUUGCGUAGGCAGCUGGCUGGGCAUACAUUGACGCUGAGGCACGAAAGCCGUGGGGAGCGAACAGGAUUAGAUACCCUGGUAGUCCACGCCCUAAACGAUUGCUUACUCGAUGUUUGGACUUAGGUUGAGCAUCCAAGGGAACCAUUAAGUAAGCCAACCUGGGGAUACGUUCGCAAGG
This 371-nucleotide ribosomal RNA is filed under the name uncultured Saprospiraceae bacterium. Its description in RNAcentral is "bacterial SSU rRNA". It matches the Rfam family "Bacterial small subunit ribosomal RNA", at positions 523 to 893 of the family's 1533-position model. Lineage: Bacteria; Pseudomonadati; Bacteroidota; Saprospiria; Saprospirales; Saprospiraceae. The record is from RNAcentral.